UUUAAAUUUAAAUUAGAAUUUUAUUUUUUAGUCAAAAAGCUAAAAUUUUAUUAAAAGACGAGAAGACCCUAUAAAUCUUUAUAAUUUUUUUUAAUUUAAUUUUUUAAGAUAAAUUUUAUUAUAAUAAAAAAAAUUAUUUUAUUGGGGUGAUAUUAAAAUUUAAAUAACUUUUAAUUAUUUAAAUUACAUUAAUUUAUGAAUUGUUGAUCCAUUAUUAAUGAUUAAAAAAUUAAGUUACUUUAGGGAUAACAGCGUAAUUUUUUUGGAGAGUUCUUAUCGAUAAAAAAGUUUGCGACCUCGAUGUUGGAUUAAGAGAUAUUUUUAAUGCAGAAGUUAAAAUAUAAAGUCUGUUCGACUUUUAAAUUCUUACAUGAUCUGAGUUCAAACCGGUGUAAGCCAGGUUGGUUUCUAUCUUUAAUUUUAUAUAAUAUUUUAGUACGAAAGGAAUUUAUAUUAGAAAAAUUUUUUAUAAAAAGAAU
Molecule: ribosomal RNA, 479 nt
Filed under: Diasemopsis meigenii
Lineage: Eukaryota; Metazoa; Arthropoda; Insecta; Diptera; Diopsidae
Description: partial 16S ribosomal RNA
Rfam family: Bacterial large subunit ribosomal RNA (bases 245-403)
Source: RNAcentral